RNAcentral lists this long non-coding RNA (582 nucleotides) under Rattus norvegicus (Norway rat). RNAcentral's name for it is "long non-coding RNA NONRATT013095". The record is from RNAcentral. Lineage: Eukaryota; Metazoa; Chordata; Mammalia; Rodentia; Muridae.
GGUAUUUGUAGUCACAGAUCAAAAAGCCGCUGAAUGACCGGCCCAGAGCAACAAGAAGCACAAGGAUGAUUUGUCAAUAGAAAGAGAAGUAAGCAGUGAAGAAUGUGGGCUGAGCUGGAGAGAGUCCCAGGGAUCCGCGUGCCUCUACUUGUUGAGUGCUGGGAAACAAAUACUUGCUACCACACCCAGUUUUAAAACAACAACAACAGCAACAACCUACAGGUUCUGGGAAUUGGAUGCAGGAAAAGCCCAGGCAACACAGUCCACAGGAAGCUUCCGAGCGAGCCUAACAUGCUGGGGGUUCACUGUGCUGAAGUGGAGAAAUGGGGGCCUUUCAUUGCGUCUUCUUUGUGGUUACUUACUGCAAGCAGAUUUUCCAGCACGGAAAUUAGUCUCAAUAUUUAUUUAGAAUAUGACAGUUCAUUAUUGUGUUCCAAAAGCUGUUAAGUGCCUGUUUAUUCCUCCCUUCUAUAUGUGACACACACUUAUAGUCUCUUUGCAUGCCCGUGAAAAAUUCCCUUAUAUACACACUUAAAACAUCCUUGCAUGGACUAUAAUAAUCUCAAUAAAAGCUUUAUCUAU